Molecule: ribosomal RNA, 467 nt
Filed under: uncultured bacterium
Lineage: Bacteria
Description: partial 16S ribosomal RNA
Rfam family: Bacterial small subunit ribosomal RNA
Source: RNAcentral
ACGCACGCUGGCGGCGUGCUUAACACAUGCAAGUCGAACGGAAAGGCCCUGCUUUUGUGGGGUGCUCGAGUGGCGAACGGGUGAGUAACACGUGAGUAACCUGCCCUUGACUUUGGGAUAACUUCAGGAAACUGGGGCUAAUACCGGAUAGGAGCUCCUGCUGCAUGGUGGGGGUUGGAAAGUUUCGGCGGUUGGGGAUGGACUCGCGGCUUAUCAGCUUGUUGGUGGGGUAGUGGCUUACCAAGGCUUUGACGGGUAGCCGGCCUGAGAGGGUGACCGGCCACAUUGGGACUGAGAUACGGCCCAGACUCCUACGGGAGGCAGCAGUGGGGAAUAUUGCACAAUGGGCGGAAGCCUGAUGCAGCAACGCCGCGUGCGGGAUGACGGCCUUCGGGUUGUAACCCGCUUUCGCCUGUGACGAAGCGUGAGUGACGGUAAUGGGUAAAGAAGCACCGGCUAACUACGUG